This 689-nucleotide ribosomal RNA is filed under the name uncultured fungus. RNAcentral's name for it is "eukaryotic LSU rRNA". The stretch from base 88 to 689 matches the Rfam family "Eukaryotic large subunit ribosomal RNA", at positions 1 to 606 of the family's 3401-position model. The record is from RNAcentral. Lineage: Eukaryota; Fungi.
GGCAGUGCCUGCCGGCUCUAAGCGUAGUAAUUUCUCUCGCUAUAGGGCCCGGUGGAACACGCGCCAGAACCCCCAACUUUCUAUGGUUGACCUCGGAUCAGGUAGGGAUACCCGCUGAACUUAAGCAUAUCAAUAAGCGGAGGAAAAGAAACCAACAGGGAUUGCCUCAGUAACGGCGAGUGAAGCGGCAACAGCUCAAAUUUGAAAUCUGGCUCUUUUAGGGUCCGAGUUGUAAUUUGUAGAAGAUGCUUUGGGUGUGGCUCCGGUCUAAGUUCCUUGGAACAGGACGUCAUAGAGGGUGAGAGUCCCGUAUGUGACUGGUCGCCUUCGCCCGUGUAAAGCUCUUUCGACGAGUCGAGUUGUUUGGGAAUGCAGCUCAAAAUGGGUGGUAAAUUUCAUCUAAAGCUAAAUAUUGGCCAGAGACCGAUAGCGCACAAGUAGAGUGAUCGAAAGAUGAAAAGCACUUUGGAAAGAGAGUAAACAGUACGUGAAAUUGUUGAAAGGGAAGCGCUUGCAACCAGACUUGCGCGUGGUUGAUCAUCCGGUGUUCUCACCGGUGCACUCUGCCGCGCUCAGGCCAGCAUCGGUUUUGGUGGUUGGAUAAAGGCCCAAGGAAUGUAGCUCCUCUCGGGGAGUGUUAUAGCCCUGGGUGCAAUGCAGCCUACCGGGACCGAGGACCGCGCUUCGGC